GAUGAACGCUAGCUACAGGCUUAACACAUGCAAGUCGCGGGGCAGCAUGGGGUUUCUUUCAAUCCCCCGUGGCCGCCGGCGCACGGGUGAGUAACGCGUUUCCCACCCUCCCUUCCCCACGGGAUUACCCGGCGAAAGGCGGACUUAUUCCGUAUGGUGUUCAUUUACCGCAUCCCGUUUUGACGAAAGGUUUUGCGGUUAAGGGUGGGGAUGCGUCCGAUUAGCUGGACGGCGGGGUGACGGCCCACCGUGGCGACGAUCGGUAGGGGUUCUGAGAGGAAGGUCCCCCACACUGGAACUGAGACACGGUCCAGACUCCUACGGGAGGCAGCAGUGAGGAAUAUUGGUCAAUGGGCGUAAGCCUGAACCAGCCAAGUAGCGUGCAGGAUGACGGCCCUAUGGGUUGUAAACUGCUUUUAUGCGGGGAUAAAGUGGCCCACGUGUGGGUUUUUGCAGGUACCGCAUGAAUAAGGACCGGCUAAUUCCGUG
RNAcentral lists this ribosomal RNA (489 nucleotides) under uncultured bacterium. RNAcentral describes it as "partial 16S ribosomal RNA". It matches the Rfam family "Bacterial small subunit ribosomal RNA", at positions 28 to 507 of the family's 1533-position model. The record is from RNAcentral.